ACAUGAUAAUAUAAUAUUUAGAUUUUGAUAAUAUUGAAUUUUAAAAGAUAUGCAAUUACCUGCAUUACAUGAUUUUUAAUGUCAAACAGGGAAAUAACAAAUAUAUUUAGUAAGAAAAGAUGAAGCAUUUUAUUAACGCAUAUUAUUUCCAGGCUUUCGCGGGCCACAUAAAAUAAUCUGGCGGGCCAGAUUUGGCCCCCGGGCCUCGAGUUUUACACCUGUGAUGUAGACGAUCUUUGAGUAGCGACUUUAUUACUUUUUUUUAUGCCAUUGGGUGACAUAAAAGUAGGAUUAUUAUUAACACGCAUAAAUUCCAUCUAGAAUAGACCAAAGAUGUAUUAUUAUAGUAGGAUUAUAUUCAUAGAUUGAUGUACUUGGGACAACAUAUGAGGCUCUAACAAUGAUCUUAAAAACCCCUUUGCAGUAGGUGAGCUUGUAUCUUUGCCUCAUUCCUGUGAGAAUCCUGCGUGCGACUGAAGCAUUAAGGAGGACGAGCUGCAGUGUGCUCAAACAACCACCAGGGUUUAAGUGAGGGAUGAAGCAAAAAACUAACCCGGACCAACUGUGACCACGAGGAUCCGAGUCUGGUAGAAGGACGCACAGCUGCAUUUGACUGGCUCGUCUUCCAGCAGAUGAUGAUUCAUUCCACUCGUGGGUGGAUGGAGCUCAUUUCAAAAGGAACUUCCGCUGGUGUUUGCGGACUCUGGAGUGGUCGAUCUUCUUCAUCAGCUUAGUGUGCUUGUAGAUGAGCCAGGUCUCCCUCAGCACGUUGGCCGCCGCGUUCUUUAUCUGCGCACAGACACACACACACAUAAUCAUUACGGGUCGCCCUUGGCAACAGGUUUGUCCGGCGUUUUCUUGAUGCAGAUGGAAAACAACACUUAAGAAUGUUUUUUUUUUCUUAAAAGCCGACCUUAUUCUCCGUGUCUGACCACACACACACACACACACACACACACGUACACGUACACGUACACAUACACACACACACACACGCACACGUUGAUUGCCAAAGCCUUUCAAGCGUACAUAAACAACUCUCUCCUUAGGGACUUUUGGCAAUGGGAACCAAACAGAGAAUCUCCCUCGCUGCUACAUACAGUAUAAAACAAUAUAAAACAUGUAAAAUACGAGGGGUGUCAAAACAUUUUUUUGUAACAAUUCUUAAUCGAUUUAAAAAAAAUAAAAAAAUUUAUUUAUUUUAAACCAGUCCUGUGCAGCCACUCCGGCAAAUCAUAUUGUUGAUGUACAAAACCCAAAACCAGUGAGGUUGGCACGUUGUGUAAAUGGUAAAUAAAAACAGAAUAUAAUGAUUUGCAAAUCCUUUUCAACCUAUAUUCAAUUGAAUAGACUGCAAAGACAAGAUAGUUAACGUUCGAACUGGAAAACUUUAUUUUUUUGCAAAUAUUAGCUCAUUUGGAAUUUGAUGCCUGCAACAUGUUUCAAAAACAAGUGGCAAAAAAGACUGAGAAAGUUGAGGAAUGCUCAUCAAACACUUAUUUGGAAUAUCCCACAGGUGAACAGGCUAAUUGGGAACAGGUGGGUACCAUGAUUGGGUAUAAAAGCAGCUUCCAUGAAAUGCUCAGUCAUUCACAAACAAGGACGGGGCGAGGGUCACCACUUUGUCAACAAAUGCGUGAGAAAAUUGUCCAACAUUUUAAGAACAACAUUUCUCAACGAGCUAUUGCAAGGAAUUUAGGAAUUUCACCAUUUACGGUCCGUUUUAUUAUCAAAAGGUUAGAGAAUCUAGAGAAAACAAUGCAAGGCUGUAAAGCAACAUUGAAUGUCUGUGACCUUCGAUCCCUCAAAAAGCGACAUCAGUGUGUAAAGGAUAUCACCACAUGGGCUCAGGAACACUUCAGAAAACCACUGUCAGUAACUACAGUUCGUCGCUACAUCUGUAAGUGCAAGUUAAAACUCUACUAUGCAAAGCGAAAGCCAUUUAUCAACAAUA
Long non-coding RNA from Entelurus aequoreus (snake pipefish), 1954 nucleotides. RefSeq lists it as uncharacterized. The record is from RefSeq and is a predicted model, not a curated record. The transcript is spliced from 3 exons. Lineage: Eukaryota; Metazoa; Chordata; Actinopteri; Syngnathiformes; Syngnathidae.